GGACGCAUGACCACUACAGGACAGCUCGUCAGGCUCAUAACCUGAAGGUCAUAGGUUCAAAUCCUAUUCCGGCAACCA
This 78-nucleotide transfer RNA is filed under the name Bradyrhizobium sp. SK17. Its description in RNAcentral is "tRNA-Met". The stretch from base 15 to 75 matches the Rfam family "tRNA". Rfam says of the family: Transfer RNA (tRNA) molecules are approximately 80 nucleotides in length. Their secondary structure includes four short double-helical elements and three loops (D, anti-codon, and T loops). The record is from RNAcentral. Lineage: Bacteria; Pseudomonadati; Pseudomonadota; Alphaproteobacteria; Hyphomicrobiales; Nitrobacteraceae.